This 26-nucleotide ribosomal RNA is filed under the name Ourisia remotifolia. RNAcentral describes it as "partial 18S ribosomal RNA". Lineage: Eukaryota; Viridiplantae; Streptophyta; Magnoliopsida; Lamiales; Plantaginaceae. The record is from RNAcentral.
UACCUGGUWGAUCCUGCCAGUAGUCA